UUUACUUUUAAUUCCAGCCGCAGGUUACGCCAGACACCCUGGCCAGACACCAUCCGAACGGUAACGCUGUCCAAGGUGUAGGGAGAAAGAGGCGGCAGCUACGAUUGGGCGAGCCGGACUGCGGCGAGGAUCCGCCGGAUUGGCCGAUAAAGAGCCCUUGCCAUCCGCCAAAGGGCCCCUGUAAGCCCAUGGGUCCACCAGGCUAUCCCGCGAAACCGAAGCCGGAAAAGAAGCCGUUUUGCGUUAAGUGUCCACCCAAGAAACCGUGCAAAACGAAAAAAUGUUAGGCGUUGGGCGUCACGCGCACCGAGAGACAGAGGGUACGUGGAGAUAGCGGCGGACUAAACGAUCCUCUAUCGAUCAAAAUCUCUGUUGUCUGCAUCGUAGGCCAAAUACGAUUUAAACACACCGUUGCUGAGGCCUCUUCUCAAGCUUUCCACCGCGAUGCUUGGUAACUUCCGAACCAGAAGUCGAUACUCUUUGGGAUCGUACGUUCUUAAUGGGCGCAGUUGGCCGUCGUCGAGAAUACCUAACGCGAGCCUGACGU
RNAcentral lists this unclassified non-coding RNA (547 nucleotides) under Bombus terrestris (buff-tailed bumblebee). RNAcentral describes it as "misc RNA ENSBTSG00005031231.1". Lineage: Eukaryota; Metazoa; Arthropoda; Insecta; Hymenoptera; Apidae. The record is from RNAcentral.